GGCUUUGCCCGGUGUUACCCGCCUCCUCCUCCACGUCGUCUUGCCCUGGGCCCCACCCACUCACACUGCUAGAGACCCAACUCUGAAGGCCCAAGUUGGGGGAGAGCCCUCCAGGUGGAGGGAACAGCAUGGCCCUGGGGCCAGCAGCCCUCAGUGGCUGCGCACAGAGGGAGAGGAGGGCAGAGAUGAGAAUGUGACAGAUGGCAUCGCUGGUGGUGCCAUCAGCACUGACUUGAUGGAGGACUGUGCACGGGCAACCUCGGCGUCACUGAGCUCGCUUCCCUCGUGUGUCAAGUGGGAAGGACAAUGCCUGCCUCAGUGGGUUGUCGCAGUGGCAUUCCCAGUACUUGGUUUCAUGUACUGUGCACUUGGUAGAACAGUAACUCAAUCAAUAGCCCACCUUUCUGUCGCGCUUGAGCUGGGGAUCUGCAGCUCCUUCUGUAGACUGGUCCCCAGAGGCCUGUCCCCAGCUCUGGAGCGGGCAUCCCCGACCCUCACCCAGGAGCCCAGAGCCCAGCUCCAUAGCAGAUGAGCGGGUGGGCAUGCCGAGGGUCCGGGGCACCGGCGAUUCUGGAGGCCUUCCUUCAACCAGGCUUCGUGAACAUGCCAAGUAGAGAAUUUGAGAGGCAGGGGUGACCAGCCGGCCGAUUGUGCCUUCCAGGACCCUCAGGCCAGCGCUUACAGCAAGUGGGCAUCUCUGCCUCCUGGGCUGGUGGAACCCCUCCAGGCCACAGUCUCUUGCUAGUGGCCUUAGACGGAGGUCAGGAUGAGAAGGAAGCAGGCUGGCAAAGAGCAGGCGAAGGGAGAGCCCGCGUUUAGGACCAGGACUCCUUCCCCUGCUCCCCCCUGUUCUGCCCACCAUAACUGUAGGGACUCGGUGGUACAGUGGGUGGCAUCUCAGCUCUGCCGCUUAGGAGCUGUGUGACCUUGGCAAGCUAUGUAUCAUCUCCGUGCCUCAGUUUCCUCAUUUGUCAAAUGGGAAUAAUUGUACCUACAUCAUAGGUUUUAGGAAAGUUUGAGUUAAACUUUGUAAUGGAGUUCCCGUCGUAGCUCAGUGGUAACAGACCCGACUAGGAUCCAUGAGGACACGGGCUGGAUCCCUAGCCUCGCUCAGUGGGUUAAGGAUCUGGCGUGGCUGUGGCUAUGGCAUAGGCCAGCGGCUACAGCUCCAAUUCGACCCCUAGCCUGGGAACUUCCACAUGCCUCGGGUGUGCCCCCCCCCCAAAAAAAAAGACAAACCCAAACAAACUCUGUAAGGCACUCAGAACUUGGCCUGGCACAGGGUCAACAAUCAGCGGUCAGUACAGGUGCUGUUCUCUUGGCCUGAAGCAUUCUUUUGCCUGAUACACAGUAGGAGCUUCAUAAAGAAAUCCUGAUUGUGUCUAAGGGUGAUGAGCUGAAUUCUGGUGCAGGGUGUGUGUGUGUGUGUGUAAAGAAAUCCUGAUUGUGUCUAAGGAUGAUGAGCUGAAUUCUGGUGGUGUGUGUGUAAAGAAAUCCUGAUUGUGUCUAAGGGUGAUGAGCUGAAUUCUGGUGCUGUGUGUGUGUGUGUGCGCGUGUGCGCUGGGGGGCGGGGCUUCUCCCGGGGCGCAGGGCCUGCCCGGGGGAGGUCUUCUUGGAAGGGCCUCUCGGGCCUCACAUGCUCCCCACCCCCAGGCUUGAGACCAGAGGAAGCAGCAACUUUCUUCGCUGGGAAAGUGUUGUGGGGCUCAAGCGUUUGGGGGUUUUCAGACUCAACCGUCAGAGGCGAGGGAGUUUCUCUGCUGGCGGCGGCGAGGGCUCUCAGGGUGCUCGCAGCCUGUGAGCGGACCUCUGCGGUCUGCAGGGAAAAUGCCGACUGUGUUUAUUUUUCACCUGAGCCUGCAGGAAGUGGGGGUGGGGAGGGCAGGCGGGAGCCACCCAGCCAGGCCCCAGCGCCACUGCUGCGCCCAGAAGACCCACCCCAGGCGUCCCUCGUUUCCACCGCCUCCUGCACCUCCAGCCCCGGGCGGGCGGGGCUGCCGCACGUCCCCCGAGCAUGAGGACCGCCUGGGGGCGACAGCAUUGGAACUGGCCUGGGCAAGGGCCGGAAAGCCGGCUCUGCUGAGGCGGCAGCGGACGUGGCCGUCCAGGACUCGGGUCCCGGAGUCCUGGACCCGUCCUGCGCAGGGGCUGCGGGGGCCCUCGAGUCUGUCACUCGUUGAGACACCCCCCAUGCUGGGAGCGCCCACUGAGGGCGCAGCACUGUGCUGGGCGCUCUGCCUUCGGAGGAGAGAGAGAUGGGGCGCUGCUGUCGAGAUGCUCGGGGACUGGUGCGGACGGUCAGGCCAGGCCUGCCCCCUUCCCUUGGAGGCUGGGCACAGUCCCCGUCAGGCGAGGCAAGCAGGGGAGCUCCGGUCACUGGGCUCCCCCUACACAGGCCAGGCCAGGCCCCAGGCAGCUCCACCCUGCCGUCUGGGCAGCCCAGCCCGGGGGCUGCCUCGUGCUGCUGAGGCCGUGGAGCGGGACGUUCCACUGGCUGGGGGGGCCCUUCCCGCAGGUUCUCAGCCUCCCCUCUGCCCACCUGGCCCCUGUCCUGCGGUUUGGCUGCAGACUGCAGUUGGAGACGCUUUGCCCCAGUCCUGAGAGAAGGCUGGUGGGAGGGAUGUCCCCCCUCCCCUACAUACAGGCCAGAGGCUGUAGGCUGAGAUUUCCUGGGUCUAGAAUGAGCUGGGCUAUAACUGGGGCCUAACAAGCCCGGCCAAGGAGGGUCAGCUGUAGCUGCCCCUCCAGGGAGAGGGUGCUCCAGGGCCUCCUGGCCCAAGCCAGUGCCCCCCAGGGUGGGGGUCUGCCGAGAAGGCUUCUCCCGGCUCUGGAGCAGACAUCCCCCAUGCCUUUGGUGGAGUAGGACACUGGCAUUGUCCUCCUAGAGUUGGCACGAUAGACCCCAGGCUCUGCCCGUAAGAGUUUCCAGGUUGAGAGCUCCCCCCUCCACCAGCCAGGCUGACAGCCAAGGGCCGAAAGGCCGGAGCCAAGGCUGGAUGGCAGGCCCUUCUCAGAAGCAGAAAUGUAGUUGCAAAGGCCCCUGAUCUGGAGAGACCUGUGGAGGCUGUUCAUUCCACCUGCUGCACCUGAGCACCAGGCACGUGUGCCCUUAGGUGGUGAAAGGUGAGAGGCCUUCCACCAGGGCCUGGUUUCUGAGGGAGUGCCUCGAGGCCUGGGAUCUGGCUGCCCCUGUCCUGGGAACCUCUCAAGGUAAAAAGCUCCCAGAAAGCUUUCCACCUUCAUAGGCUCUUGGUUCCUGCUACCCAAAAUUCUAGGAUAAAGUAGGAUUUUUGCCUCUGUGACCAGUGAGCCAGGCAGAGUUCUGUUUAUUAAGGCCUCACUUGUGGCAUACGGAGGUUCCCAGGCUAGGGGUCGAAUUGGAGCUGCAGCUGCUGGCCUACACCACAGCCACAGCAACUCGGAUCUGAGCUGAAUCUGCGACUUAUACCAUGGCUCACGGCAAUGCCGGAUCCUUAACCCUCUGAGUGAGGCUAGGGUUUGAACCUGCAUCCUCAAAGAGACUAUAUCAGGUUCUUAACCCAUUGAACUGUAAUGGGAACUCUGAGGCAGAGUUAAUAUGCCCAUUUUACAAGGGACAAACUGGCCCAGGAUCCUGUAGAGAGAAGGUCCAUGAAAAGGUCAGCAAGCCUAGAGCUGCACUUCCCAAUCCACUUCCCAUCUUGGCACACUUAAAAAUUACCACUGAGGAGUUCCCUUGUGGCACAGUGGGUUAAGGAUCUGGCACUGUCACUGCUCUUGGAUCCCUGGCCCAGGAACUGCCACAUGCCAUGAGUGUAGCAAAAAAUAAUAAUUAAAAUUAAAUAAAAUUGAUCUAGAAAUACAUAUUUUAAAAAAAAUGGGAGUUCCCAUCGUGGCACAGCGGAAAUGAAUCUGACUAGGAACCGUGAGGUUUUGGGUUCUAUCCCUGGCCUCGAUCAGCGGGUCAAGGAUCCGGCGUUGCUGUGAGCUGUGGUGUAGGUUGCAGACGUGGCUCGGAUCUGGCGUUGCUUUGGCUGUGCUGUAGGCCAGUGGCUACAGCUCUGAUUAGCCCCCUAGCCUGGAAACCUCCAUAUGCCGUGCCUGUGGCCCUAAAAAGACAAAAAGACC
RNAcentral lists this long non-coding RNA (4107 nucleotides) under Sus scrofa (pig). RNAcentral's name for it is "lncRNA (ENSSSCG00045031721.1)". The record is from RNAcentral. Lineage: Eukaryota; Metazoa; Chordata; Mammalia; Artiodactyla; Suidae.